AGCAUCUCCUUCACGCCUCUUCAAUUGUUGGCACAAGCAUGGUCUCGGCCAAAAUCGGGUUUCCUGUGCUAGAUACCUGUCCCGAAGGAAUUUUGAUGGCUAUAAUUGUUGGAUUUCCGUCGUGUGCCCCUUUUCCUUGCGGGGAAGUGGUGUGCUGCGGACCUCAAGGCGUUCGCCGUUUUUCGCACCGUGUGCACCUGUACAGGUGUUUCGGUUGAUGAACCACGGCGCAAUGCUUGAUAUCUCGGGUGCGGAACAUCUCGUGGGUACGAGGCCUUUGGCCUUCGAUAACCCCAACAACAAGCGUUCUACGCUUUGUGCGAACGACGGUUAGCUCGGUCUUCAAACGUGCUCUAGUAGACCGAUUGGAGUCGAGCUGACGUCGG
This 386-nucleotide unclassified non-coding RNA is filed under the name Elsholtzia capituligera. RNAcentral describes it as "partial external transcribed spacer". Lineage: Eukaryota; Viridiplantae; Streptophyta; Magnoliopsida; Lamiales; Lamiaceae. The record is from RNAcentral.